GGGGGUGCCUGGAUUCGACUUCGGUCGUCAAGACAGGAGAAGCGAGCCGUGGUUGUCGGAGUCCACGUAAAAGAGCCGGCAAAAAAACAAACGCCGACAAUAACGUCGCGCUCGCAGCCUAACUAGCUGUGACGUCCUCCCGGUCUCGGUCCUGCGGGCCGGAAUGGGACGCCAUCAAGCAGGACUCACCGGAACGAACGGGUCAGCGGUUCGUUCCGGGACAUCUCAGCUGACUGGGGCCUCUCACCGUUGCCGGUGAAGGUGGGAGGCCCGAGAUCUUCCACCGGCUGCGCUCGGAGAAGUCCCGUCGAGAACCCGAAGGACGAGGGUUCGAUUCCCUCCACCUCCACCC
This 352-nucleotide transfer-messenger RNA is filed under the name Actinomycetota bacterium. It matches the Rfam family "transfer-messenger RNA". Rfam says of the family: Bacterial tmRNA, also known as 10Sa RNA or SsrA, is named for its dual tRNA and mRNA-like properties. Its role is to liberate the mRNA from a stalled ribosome. Lineage: Bacteria; Bacillati; Actinomycetota. The record is from RNAcentral.